This 738-nucleotide ribosomal RNA is filed under the name Nasutitermes rotundatus. Its description in RNAcentral is "partial large subunit ribosomal RNA". The stretch from base 301 to 503 matches the Rfam family "Archaeal large subunit ribosomal RNA", at positions 1797 to 2106 of the family's 2987-position model. RNAcentral also lists the same sequence under 1 other name. Lineage: Eukaryota; Metazoa; Arthropoda; Insecta; Blattodea; Termitidae. The record is from RNAcentral.
UUAAUUCAUGCGUCUUAUUUAAUUUCUUUUAUUGGUCUAUUUAUUUUUAUUUGAUGUUAAGAUUGAGGGGGAUUAGCUCCUUGUUUUAUUUUUAUAAUUGAUUGAUGAUUAAUUUACUUUUGUGGAUUUUAUGGUGAUUUUCUAUUUGAUUAUGUUAAAAUUUUAUUUGUUCUUUUUUUAAUUUUUUUUAAUUUAAGUUAUUUAUUGAAAUGUUUUCUUUACUUUUGGUUUGAGUAGUAAUUAUUGUGUAAUUAGUAAAUUUUGUUGGUUAGUUUGUGAGAAGAGGUUAUGGGUGUUAGUUGCUUUUGAGGAAUUCGGCAAAUUUUAUGUCCGCCUGUUUAACAAAAACAUCUUUUCUUGUUAGUUUUUGAAGUAUGGCCUGCCCGCUGACUGUGAGUUGAAGGGCCGCGGUAUUUUGACCGUGCAAAGGUAGCAUAAUCAUUAGUUCUUUAAUUGUGAUCUGGUAUGAAUGGCUUGACGAGACAUGGACUGUCUUAGAUGUAUUGUUUUAUUGAAUUUGGUUUUUGAGUUAAAAUUCUUAAAUGUUUUUAUGGGACGAGAAGACCCUAUAGAGUUUGACAGGUUUCUCGCUUAUUCGUUGUUUGUUAUUUUACAUUGAGUGGGAAAUGGACUGUUUUGUUGGGGUGAUGGGAGGAAUAAUAUUUAACUCCUCCUUGUUUUUAUAUAUUUAUGUAUAUUUUUUUGAUCCAUUUAUUUUGAUUAUAAGAUUAAAUUACC